This 461-nucleotide ribosomal RNA is filed under the name uncultured bacterium. RNAcentral describes it as "bacterial SSU rRNA". It matches the Rfam family "Bacterial small subunit ribosomal RNA", at positions 338 to 795 of the family's 1533-position model. The record is from RNAcentral.
CCUANGGGUGGCAGCAGUAAGGAAUAUUGGGCAAUGGACGCAAGUCUGACCCAGCCAUGCCGCGUGAAGGAUGACAGCCCUAUGGGUUGUAAACUUCUUUUAUACGGGAAAAAACCCCUGAUCGUGUAUCGGGGCUGAUGGUACCGUAAGAAUAAGGAUCGGCUAACUCCGUGCCAGCAGCCGCGGUAAUACGGAGGAUCCAAGCGUUAUCCGGAUUUAUUGGGUUUAAAGGGUGCGUAGGCGGGAUGAUAAGUCAGUGGUGAAAUCCUACAGCUUAACUGUAGAACUGCCAUUGAUACUGUCAACCUUGAGUACAUUUGAAGUGGGCGGAAUGUGUCAUGUAGCGGUGAAAUGCUUAGAUAUGACACAGAACACCGAUAGCGAAGGCAGCUCACUAAACUGUUACUGACGCUGAGGCACGAAAGCGUGGGGAUCAAACAGGAUUAGAUACCCUANUANUC